Molecule: ribosomal RNA, 207 nt
Filed under: uncultured bacterium
Lineage: Bacteria
Description: partial 16S ribosomal RNA
Rfam family: Bacterial small subunit ribosomal RNA
Source: RNAcentral
CGCGUAGGCGGCUAUUUAAGUCUGAUGUGAAAUCCCCGGGCUCAACCUGGGAAUGGCAUCGGAUACUGGGUAGCUAGAGUGCAGUAGAGGAAGGUGGAAUUCCAGGUGUAGCGGUGAAAUGCGUAGAGAUCUGGAGGAACACCAGUGGCGAAGGCGGCCUUCUGGACUGACACUGACGCUGAGGUGCGAAAGCGUGGGGAUCAAACA